UUUUACUCAAUUUUGGAAGAAAAAAUAGAGUGGAGUUGGAGAUACCCUUACCAUAUUCCAACUAUUUGAUCAAGUAAAACUUACGCUCAGUUCAUAUAAACUUGUUUUUGACCCAAAAGAAAAACUUGCUUUAAUCAAUGAUCUAUAGUCACCAAAUAAGGAAACAAAUAUAAAAGUAAAUCGAUGUUACAAUCCAGCCACUUUUUUGUAUUUUUGAUAAUAACUAUUCUUUUUACAAAAAAAGAAAU
RNAcentral lists this long non-coding RNA (248 nucleotides) under Brassica rapa (field mustard). RNAcentral describes it as "long non-coding RNA (BRAP_LNC005522)". The record is from RNAcentral. Lineage: Eukaryota; Viridiplantae; Streptophyta; Magnoliopsida; Brassicales; Brassicaceae.